AGUGAACGCUGGCGGUAGGCCUAACACAUGCAAGUCGAACGGCAGCACAGUAAGAGCUUGCUCUUACGGGUGGCGAGUGGCGGACGGGUGAGGAAUACAUCGGAAUCUACUUUUUCGUGGGGGAUAACGUAGGGAAACUUACGCUAAUACCGCAUACGACCUACGGGUGAAAGCAGGGGAUCUUCGGACCUUGCGCGAUUGAAUGAGCCGAUGUCGGAUUAGCUAGUUGGCGGGGUAAAGGCCCACCAAGGCGACGAUCCGUAGCUGGUCUGAGAGGAUGAUCCGCCACACUGGAACUGAGACCAGGUCCCGACUCCUACGGGAGGCAGCAGUGGGGAAUAUUGGGCAAUGGGCGCAAGCCUGAUCCAGCCAUACCGCGUGGGUGAAGAAGGCCUUCGGGUUGUAAAGCCCUUUUGUUGGGAAAGAAAAGCAGCAGGUUAAACCCCCGCUGUUCUGACGGUACCCAAAGAAAAAGCAACGGCUAACUUCGUG
This 492-nucleotide ribosomal RNA is filed under the name uncultured bacterium. RNAcentral's name for it is "partial 16S ribosomal RNA". It matches the Rfam family "Bacterial small subunit ribosomal RNA", at positions 29 to 507 of the family's 1533-position model. The record is from RNAcentral.